This 253-nucleotide ribosomal RNA is filed under the name uncultured bacterium. RNAcentral describes it as "partial 16S ribosomal RNA". It matches the Rfam family "Bacterial small subunit ribosomal RNA", at positions 524 to 776 of the family's 1533-position model. The record is from RNAcentral.
UACGUAGGGUGCGAGCGUUGUCCGGAAUUAUUGGGCGUAAAGGGCUCGUAGGCGGUUUGUCGCGUCGGGAGUGAAAACCCAGGGCUUAACUCUGGGCUUGCUUUCGAUACGGGCAGACUAGAGGUAUGCAGGGGAGAACGGAAUUCCUGGUGUAGCGGUGAAAUGCGCAGAUAUCAGGAGGAACACCAGUGGCGAAGGCGGCUUCCUGGCCUGUUCUUGACGCUGAGGCGCGAAAGCUAGGGGAGCAAACGGG